RNAcentral lists this long non-coding RNA (306 nucleotides) under Zonotrichia albicollis (white-throated sparrow). RNAcentral's name for it is "lncRNA (ENSZALG00000018103.1)". The record is from RNAcentral. Lineage: Eukaryota; Metazoa; Chordata; Aves; Passeriformes; Passerellidae.
CUGCAGCAGAUGAGGAGCCUGUUUGUCUUCACAUAAUCCUGAUGAGUCACACUUGUGACACCCUGUGAACCUGAUAUGCAAAAUCCUGCAGUCCUGCAUGGUUUUAGAAGAUGGAAUUGAAAUGCUGAGACCACUUGGUGAGAUAAAGUCCCUGUAACAAAAGGGACAAAGACAAGGGCUGAGAAGUGCCUUCUGCAGUUAGCAGUCUCCUGCUGCAUGGCUGCAAAUUGAGAGUGAAGACCACUGAAUGUCUGUUCACUGAUGGCUAAACCUUGACUCAUCCAGAGCAAGAAACAGAGAAUUACA